AUUGAACGCUGGCGGCAUGCCUUACACAUGCAAGUCGAACGGCAGCGCGGGGCAACCUGGCGGCGAGUGGCGAACGGGUGAGUAAUAUAUCGGAACGUACCCUGGAGUGGGGGAUAACGUAGCGAAGGUUACGCUAAUACCGCAUACGAUCUAAGGAUGAAAGUGGGGGAUCGCAAGACCUCAUGCUCCUGGAGCGGCCGAUAUCUGAUUAGCUAGUUGGUGGGGUAAAGGCCUACCAAGGCAUCGAUCAGUAGCUGGUCUGAGAGGACGACCAGCCACACUGGAACUGAGACACGGUCCAGACUCCUACGGGAGGCAGCAGUGGGGAAUUUUGGACAAUGGGCGAAAGCCUGAUCCAGCAAUGCCGCGUGAGUGAAGAAGGCCU
RNAcentral lists this ribosomal RNA (385 nucleotides) under uncultured bacterium. RNAcentral's name for it is "bacterial SSU rRNA". It matches the Rfam family "Bacterial small subunit ribosomal RNA", at positions 30 to 417 of the family's 1533-position model. The record is from RNAcentral.